Molecule: non-coding RNA, 70 nt
Filed under: Homo sapiens (human)
Lineage: Eukaryota; Metazoa; Chordata; Mammalia; Primates; Hominidae
Source: RNAcentral
AAGGGAGGCUGGGGUUCAUUUUCGAGUAGUAUUUUAUACUUUAGUGAACGUGGACUCCAGACUCUCUGUG